CCCUACUUAAUCUAUGCUUGUCCUCAAGCAUGUUUUAUUUGCAAUAAAGUUCAGUAUCUCAAACAGCAAGCAAAGGUAAAGGUUAAGAAUACUCCUAAUGUGUUUCUAAUGUUUUCAGCAUGGAAAAUAAUUAUCAGCAUUUAGCACGACGUGCCCAUGCCACUAUUAGUAUCUGAUUUUGGGAAAAUUGAAUACCUCCAUUACGUACCUUAAAUGUUAUUCAUUUGGCUCAUUAAGAAUUAAUUUUUCCAUCUUGUGCACUUGGAGGUUCUCGCAGAAAGGUUUUGACCUUUGCCCACUGUCCUUGAAGCCCUUCCCGGA
RNAcentral lists this long non-coding RNA (321 nucleotides) under Gossypium barbadense (sea-island cotton). Its description in RNAcentral is "long non-coding RNA (GBAR_LNC022502)". Lineage: Eukaryota; Viridiplantae; Streptophyta; Magnoliopsida; Malvales; Malvaceae. The record is from RNAcentral.